This is a long non-coding RNA of Parus major (Great Tit), 1360 nucleotides long. RefSeq lists it as uncharacterized. The transcript is spliced from 4 exons. Lineage: Eukaryota; Metazoa; Chordata; Aves; Passeriformes; Paridae. The record is from RefSeq and is a predicted model, not a curated record.
GCCGCAGCAGCGGCCGCCCCCACCCCCGGCGCGCAAGGGAGGCUCCCGGCCGGGGGCGGCGGUGGCGGGGGGAGGACUGAGGCUGGAAAGGUGCGUGCUCGGAUUGCCGGAGGGCCGGUCUCGACCCGUGCGUACGGAAAAGAAGCUGCCAUUUGUGACGAGCGUCUUACAACAAUCCAUUGAUACCAACGACAUGCAUGGAAUACUUAGAGGAGAAAUAAAAUCUGAAACACUAGCACUGGAUCUUCAAACCUCUGACUGAGUGCCAGGAGAUAAUGAUAAAUGAAACUCCUUGCUCUACAAGUCACUUUGGUUUUGUGGUGUCAAGUUCAGCAGGGCUGCAUUUUAAUACUCAUUCUCAGGUGAGAUGAAGAUAUCAUCUUUGAAACUUUUGAAUUCCAAGUGCAGCUGGAAAUCAAGUUCCUCUUUCCUGAAGAGAGUAAGCCUGUGAUCUGCACAGGCAGUGGGGGCGUCAGGGACCUCUGUGAGGAGUGCCCAGGGCUGCCCCAGGUAGGACACAGCUGGAUCCAGGUGGCUUCAACCCACCCACACAGGGAACAGCUGGGCCUGCAGCCAGAGGGCCUGUGGCACCUUGGAGAAGACAUGUUUAAGAAAGGGUAAAAACUGUUGCACAGCAGCUUUGUGAGAGAGGAGUGAGAGCAUGAGAGGAACAAACCUGCAGACACCCAGUUCAGUGCAUAAGGAGGAGAAGGAGCUGAUACUCCCCUGCAGCCCCUGGUGAAGACCAUGGUGUGGCCUGUGGAGGACCAGAGGGAAAAGAAGAUCUGUAUUACAACCAGUGGAAGACUCCAUGCCCGAGCAGGUGGAUGUGUUGUGGAGAAAGCUGACACUGCUGGAGGGCCAGCAGGAGGAAAGCUAGAAGCAGGAGGAAAGCAGGAAGAGAAAGAUGUGCCACCCAGGAGGUGCUAUGGGCUGACCCCAUCCCUCCAUUCCCCACCCUCAUGCACUGCUCAGCAUGAGGAGGAGGUUUGUACCUGGGAAUAAAGGGGUGUGGAAGGGAGGGGGAUUGGUUUCCUUUUGUUUCUGUGUAACUGAGUCUAUUUUUAAUUGGCAAUAAAUUAAACUUCUUCAAGUAAAAUCUGUGUUGGCUGUGAAGGUAAUAGUUGAAUAAUCUUGUCUUCAUCUCAACCUAUGGGAUUUUUCAUUUUAUUUUCUCUCCCAUCCUGCUGAGGAGAGGAAGUCAGAAAGUGGUUGUGUGGGCACCUGUCAUCCAACCAAGGUAAACCCACAAUAAAAUUCAAUAUUUUUGUCUUAAAACAUAUUUGGGGAUUUAAACUGAUUUCUGUGAUUGUAUGAAAAUUUUCCUUUAAAUGUUGUCAUAAAAAAUAAAAUCUAAGUU